CCUACGGGAGGCAGCAGUGAGGAAUAUUGGACAAUGGUCGAGAGACUGAUCCAGCCAUGCCGCGUGCAGGAUGACGGCCUUAUGGGUUGUAAACUGCUUUUUUAGAGGAAGAAUAAUACCGAAUAUUCGGUAGAUGACGGUACUUUAAGAAUAAGCAUCGGCUAACUCCGUGCCAGCAGCCGCGGUAAUACGGAGGAUGCAAGCGUUAUCCGGAAUUAUUGGGUUUAAAGGGUCCGCAGGCUGUUUAUUAAGUCAGUGGUGAAAUGCUCCGGCUUAACCGGCAGAGUUGCCAUUGAUACUGAUAGGCUUGAAUUAACAAGCAGUAAUUAGAAUGUGUAGUGUAGCGGUGAAAUGCAUAGAUAUUACACAGAAUACCGAUUGCGAAGGCAGAUUACUAUUGUUUAAUUGACGCUGAUGGACGAAAGCGUGGGUAGCGAACAGGAUUAGAUACCCUGGUAGUCCACGCCGUAAACGAUGGAUACUAGCUGUUUAUUUCUAAAUUAAUUAGAGGUAUGUGGCCAAGCGAAAGUGAUAAGUAUCCCACCUGGGGAGUACGUUCGCAAGAAUGAAACUCAAAGGAAUUGACGG
This 588-nucleotide ribosomal RNA is filed under the name uncultured bacterium. RNAcentral describes it as "bacterial SSU rRNA". It matches the Rfam family "Bacterial small subunit ribosomal RNA", at positions 338 to 916 of the family's 1533-position model. The record is from RNAcentral.